Molecule: ribosomal RNA, 616 nt
Filed under: uncultured bacterium
Lineage: Bacteria
Description: bacterial SSU rRNA
Rfam family: Bacterial small subunit ribosomal RNA (bases 1-516)
Source: RNAcentral
CCUACGGGAGGCAGCAGUAGGGAAUAUUGGACAAUGGGCGAAAGCCUGAUCCAGCAAUGCCGCGUGAGUGAUGAAGGCCUUAGGGUCGUAAAGCUCUUUUACCAGGGAUGAUAAUGACAGUACCUGGAGAAUAAGCUCCGGCUAACUCCGUGCCAGCAGCCGCGGUAAUACGGAGGGAGCUAGCGUUGUUCGGAAUUACUGGGCGUAAAGCGUACGUAGGCGGUUAUUCAAGUCAGAGGUGAAAGCCCGGGGCUCAACCCCGGAACUGCCUUUGAAACUAGGUAGCUAGAAUCUUGGAGAGGUCAGUGGAAUUCCGAGUGUAGAGGUGAAAUUCGUAGAUAUUCGGAAGAACACCAGUGGCGAAGGCGACUGACUGGACAAGUAUUGACGCUGAGGUACGAAAGCGUGGGGAGCAAACAGGAUUAGAUACCCUGGUAGUCCACGCCGUAAACGAUGAUAACUAGCUGUUCGGGCACUUGGUGCUUGAGUGGCGCAGCUACGCAUAAGUUAUCCGUCCGUCGGGGUAGGUACGGUCGGCGAAGAAGUUAAAACGUUAACGAAAGGAAAGUUAGUAACGGUCGUGAGAGUGCCGAACGGACGACGACGAGGGAGGAGG